RNAcentral lists this ribosomal RNA (254 nucleotides) under uncultured bacterium. RNAcentral describes it as "partial 16S ribosomal RNA". It matches the Rfam family "Bacterial small subunit ribosomal RNA", at positions 524 to 776 of the family's 1533-position model. The record is from RNAcentral.
UACGGAGGGUGCGAGCGUUGUCCGGAAUCAUUGGGCGUAAAGGGCGCGUAGGUGGCCCGGUCAGUUCGUGGUGAAAGCGCGGGGCUCAACCCUGCGUCGGCCAUGAAUACUGCCGCGGCUGGAGCACUGUAGAGGCAGGCGGAAUUCCGGGUGUAGCGGUGGAAUGCGUAGAGAUCCGGAAGAACACCGACGGCGUAGGCAGCGCCCUGGACGACACCUGACGCUGAGGCACGAAAGCUGGGGGAGCGAACAGG